Molecule: unclassified non-coding RNA, 234 nt
Filed under: Hevea brasiliensis (rubber tree)
Lineage: Eukaryota; Viridiplantae; Streptophyta; Magnoliopsida; Malpighiales; Euphorbiaceae
Source: RNAcentral
GAUUGCACUAAAUAAUAAAUGUUGGUAGCCAGCCACUAGCCCGGCCAAGUAUAUACCACUUGAAGGAAAUCCAACAAUGCCCAACUUAUUGUGAGGCAAUUGGUAUACAAUUUUCCAACAUAAAUUGUUGCUUUUAAAGUUCAUUUCUUGGCAGCAGUCAUAUAUUGAUAUAUACAAACUUGAGCCUAGCUAGAUAAUAGACGAAAAGUGUAGCAAGUUAGUGGUAAAAGUCUG